GGUGGUUCUCAGGUGACGAUCCCUGGAAUCGGGCUCCCUCCUCUCUGGUUCCGGGUGCGUCACCCGAGAACUGCA
Non-coding RNA from Myotis brandtii (Brandt's bat), 75 nucleotides. Lineage: Eukaryota; Metazoa; Chordata; Mammalia; Chiroptera; Vespertilionidae. The record is from Rfam.